Molecule: ribosomal RNA, 459 nt
Filed under: uncultured bacterium
Lineage: Bacteria
Description: partial 16S ribosomal RNA
Rfam family: Bacterial small subunit ribosomal RNA
Source: RNAcentral
CCUACGGGAGGCAGCAGUGAGGAAUAUUGGUCAAUGGACGAGAGUCUGAACCAGCCAAGUAGCGUGAAGGAUGACUGCCCUAUGGGUUGUAAACUUCUUUUAUAUGGGAAUAAAAUGUUCCACGUGUGGGAUUUUGUAUGUACCAUAUGAAUAAGGAUCGGCUAACUCCGUGCCAGCAGCCGCGGUAAUACGGAGGAUGCGAGCGUUAUCCGGAUUUAUUGGGUUUAAAGGGUGCGUAGGCGGAAUGCCAAGUCAGCGGUAAAAUCGCGGGGCUCAACCUCGCUCCGCCGUUGAAACUGGCGUUCUUGAGUGGGCGAGAAGUAUGCGGAAUGCGUGGUGUAGCGGUGAAAUGCAUAGAUAUCACGCAGAACUCCGAUUGCGAAGGCAGCAUACCGGCGCCCAACUGACGCUGAAGCACGAAAGCGUGGGUAUCGAACAGGAUUAGAUACCCCAGUAGUC